GAAAGGUGUCGCGAGGGCUGUGAAUCAGAGCCCUAUUUCUGAAGGGUUAUGUGACACUGAAGAGUUCCGAUACCCUACUGAAGACUGGAGCACAGGAAUAGAUGUCUGUACACAACACCACGGGUCUGUUGCAGUAUACGCAGUGAUGCAAAGUUAAAAGAUCCUUUCUCACUAGCACAAAAGGACUUGCAAAAUGUAUAUGAAGACAUAAAAAAGCUGCUCGUCUCUAAAGCGGAGCUGAAAGCGCUGUGUGAUUAUUACUUUGAUGGGAAGGGAAAAGCCUUUCGACCCAUGAUUGUAAUCCUGAUGGCUCGAGCUUGUAACGUCCACAGCAAUAAAGAAGGGGUCCUGCUGCCGGCGCAGCGCUCCAUCGCUAUGAUCUCUGAGAUGAUCCACACUGCCAGCUUGGUGCAUGAUGACGUUAUUGAUGAUUCGGACACGAGACGUGGGAAAAACACCAUUAAUAAAGUCUGGGGAGAGAGAAAAGUAGGUAACAAAACUGGGUGGAGAUUUCUUCUG
Molecule: long non-coding RNA, 519 nt
Organism: Sinocyclocheilus grahami
Lineage: Eukaryota; Metazoa; Chordata; Actinopteri; Cypriniformes; Cyprinidae
Exons: 5
Source: RefSeq, a predicted model, not a curated record